CAAUAUUAACUGUGCUGCUAGA
Molecule: non-coding RNA, 22 nt
Filed under: Xenopus laevis (African clawed frog)
Lineage: Eukaryota; Metazoa; Chordata; Amphibia; Anura; Pipidae
Also listed under: 1 other name
Source: RNAcentral